Scylla paramamosain (green mud crab) is the source of this 1555-nucleotide long non-coding RNA. RefSeq lists it as uncharacterized. The transcript is spliced from 3 exons. The record is from RefSeq and is a predicted model, not a curated record. NCBI's taxonomy places the organism in Eukaryota, Metazoa, Arthropoda, Malacostraca, Decapoda, Portunidae.
UGGACAGACGGUGGAGAGUCGCAGAAGUGUUCACAUUACUUCAGCCUUCACGACCAUAACCAGUGAAGUGGUGUCCAUUAGAGGUGUCAGUAUGAGAGGUGACACCAGACCUAAUGGAUCAUAUAUAGAGGUCACUGUUGACAGAAUGCCUCUCCUGGUGAGUGGCUGGUCUUUCACCUUUAUUCUAAAUUGAAAUGUGUCAGAUUCUAUGCACCACUCAACUCCCAAAGUUCUUUCUAUAGGCAGUGUGUCUUCAUUCUUACUAAAAUCCAAACUUUUAAUUCCAUCUGCUCUCUCAUGAGGAGAAAUUGCAGCUAAUACAGCUUUGUUGUUUGACAAGAACUUAAGAAGGUUGAAACCUCCCUUGUAACAUAAUUCUUUGCUCUGCUGAAUAAGAGUGACAGCUUCAUCCAUUGUAGCUACUGACUUCAAACCAUCAUCAACAUAAAAGUUGUUUGUUACAAACUUGGCUGCAUCAGAUCCACACCCGUAGUCAUCUGCAGCUUUCUUAAGUGCAAAGUUGGCUACACUUGGAGAUGAUGUAGCUGCAAACAGGUGAGCUGUCAUCCUGUAUUCAGCUAUCUCAUUAUUAAGGUCACCAUUUUCCCACCAAAGGAAUCUUAACCUAUCUCUGUGUUCUGGGUUGAUCUUCACUUGAUGGUACAUUGCUUCACUAUCACAUACAACUCCAAUGCUUUCUUGCCUAAACCUACACAACACUCCAAUAAGUUUGUUGGUAAGGUCUGGGCCUUGUAACAGGUGACUGACUGACUGACUGACUGACUGUUUAAUGACUGGUUCCUGUAGUUUGCACUACAGUCAGAGACAACUCUCAGCUUCUUUGGCUUUCUCGGAUGAUAGACUCCAUGAUGUGGAAUGUACCAGACCUUACCGUCAUUCCUAACUAAAUCCUUUGUGGGUACAACCUCUGCAUAACCCUUUGUAAUCAUAUCAUCCAUGAACACUUUGUAAUCACCUUUGUGUUGAUUAUCCUUCUCAAGUUUAGCUCUUAACAAACUUGUUGAGUCUCUGCUCUGCUAAUAGUUUGUUGUUUGGAAGCUUGACGUUAUCAUCUUUAAGAGGAAGGGGCAACUCAUAAUGGCCAUCCUUCAGCUGAUGUACUCCUUCUUUCAUCUUACUCAUAAAUAAUAAACCUUUUACCUUCAUAUGAUAAUGGAGUGUCAGCUGAUUUACUUUACUUGGGAAUGACCACAUUGGUUUUUCCUCAAUUGCUUUGGCCAUGAAAGUUCUACCCCCUCUAUUAUUUGUCAUGAUGUUUGAUUCCCUUGGUUUCCAAUUGGUUGCCCUUGUGUGAGUUUUGAUCCAGUCAUUUACUUCCCUACUUACUGAAUUCCAGGAAACAAAGGGAUUGCUUGCUCCCUUUGCUUCUUUGUGGACAAAUUGACAUAACAUUUGCAAGGGUGGGUGGUGGUCUUCAUUGCUACUAGGGGUGUUGUUAUUACUGUUAGUAUCAAGAUAUAUCAUUGCUUGCUUUCUCCAGUCAUGAACAAUGUGUUCAGGGAGUUUUGCUAGCACCUUUCUCUGCUCUCUAGGG